RNAcentral lists this ribosomal RNA (887 nucleotides) under uncultured bacterium. Its description in RNAcentral is "bacterial SSU rRNA". It matches the Rfam family "Bacterial small subunit ribosomal RNA", at positions 539 to 1426 of the family's 1533-position model. The record is from RNAcentral.
CGUUAAUCGGAAUUACUGGGCGUAAAGCGCGCGUAGGCGGUUUGCUAAGUCAGAUGUGAAAUCCCCGGGCUCAACCUGGGAAUGGCAUUUGAGACUGGUAGGCUAGAAUGUGGUAGAGGUGAGUGGAAUUCCAGGUGUAGCGGUGAAAUGCGUAGAGAUCUGGAGGAACAUCAGUGGCGAAGGCGACUCACUGGGCCAUUAUUGACGCUGAGGUGCGAAAGCGUGGGUAGCAAACAGGAUUAGAUACCCUGGUAGUCCACGCCCUAAACGAUGUCAACUAGGUGUAUGGGAAAUUUAUUUCUUGUGUAUCGAAGCUAACGCGAUAAGUUGACCGCCUGGGGAGUACGGUCGCAAGACUAAAACUCAAAUGAAUUGACGGGGGCCCGCACAAGCGGUGGAGCAUGUGGUUUAAUUCGAUGCAACGCGAAGAACCUUACCUGGCCUUGACAUGCACGGAACUUUCCAGAGAUGGAUUGGUGCCUUCGGGAACCAUGACACAGGUGCUGCAUGGCUGUCGUCAGCUCGGGUCGUGAGAUGUUGGGUUAAGUCCCGCAACGAGCGCAACCCCUGUCCUUAGUUGCCAUCAUUCAGUUGGGCACUCUAAGGAGACUGCCGGUGACAAACCGGAGGAAGGUGGGGAUGAAGUCAAGUCAUCAUGGCCCUUAUGGCCAGGGCUACACACGUGCUACAAUGGCAAGUACAAAGGGUUGCUAACUCGCGAGAGUGUGCUAAUCCCAUAAAGCUUGUCGUAGUCCGGAUCGCAGUCUGCAACUCGACUGCGUGAAGUCGGAAUCGCUAGUAAUCGCGGAUCAGAAUGCCGCGGUGAAUACGUUCCCGGGCCUUGUACACACCGCCCGUCACACCAUGGGAGUUGGCUGCAAAAGAAG